Molecule: long non-coding RNA, 411 nt
Organism: Marmota monax (woodchuck)
Lineage: Eukaryota; Metazoa; Chordata; Mammalia; Rodentia; Sciuridae
Exons: 3
Source: RefSeq, a predicted model, not a curated record
CUGAAAUAAGGAAAACCACAGAAGAAUGGGGAGUGAAGACUGAGAAAGGCAAUGUUAUAUCACUUUCUUCAUACAAGAGAGGAAAUUUACAACUGAUGUUGGUUAAACGAGUGGAUAAAGGAAAAGAUGACACACCAGUUUCCCACUUGGAGCCACAUUUGGACAGAUCAUCCAAGGCAGAACAGAAGAGUUUUCAUGAUAUUGAUGAUACUGCACAUCGCCAGCAAAAGGUAGCACAUGUGUCAAUUUAAAUUCCUGGUCAUUUCUUUUUUUUUUUGCUUCCAGACAUUAAACUAGGCCAAUUGAAAUAACCUACUCUUUGGGAUUCCAAACAUAGUAAUUAAAUAUUUAAGUACAGAGAAGUUAACUGGUCAGCUACAACUAAAAAAAAAAAAAAAAAAAUUAAAGAAA